CGAAAAAGAACAAAACUCGAACCCCCUGGUAUUGCGUCCUCUCCUUCCAGCCUCUCCGAGGCCCCACCAUCUGCUAAAAGAGAAGAUGCUCCGUACACACACUCUCACCAACCCCCAUCCCCAGCUCCUGCGGCCGAGGCCACCCCGGGGUGCUGGCGGGCCAGGGGCAGGAUGCUGCUGAGAAGCGCAAGCGGCACACGCCAGGCGGGAACCUGCCGGUGGGACUCGUGGGUAUGCAGGCCUCUCACUGCUGUGGCCUCUCCCAUUGCGGAGCACAGGCUCCAGACGCGCAGGCUCAGCGGCCAUGGCUCACGGGCCCAGCCGCUCCGCGGCAUGUGGGAUCCUCCCGGACCAGGGCACAAACUCGCAUGCCCUGCAUUGGCAGGCGGACUCCCAAGCACUGCGCCACCAGGGAAGCCUAAGAUUUCUCACCUUCUUCUUAAGUUUCUACUGAACACAGAAUGUUAAGAGAAAAAAAGAAAAAGCUAGAAGGCACAAAGAUGAAUAUUAUUUCUUAAAAGAUAAUUAUUUGUUAAACUCUAAUAUAUGCUUGCCCUCAAAGUGUUAGUCUAAGCAAGCUGUUGUAUCUGUCCCCUCUGUGCACAUCUGGCUUCAGGAAAGUAUGAACCCAGAUGUUCUUCAUCAUAUACCAUUUGUAAUAAACAUCAAGUUCCUUAAAGGUGGUGUUUAUACAACUUUGUAUUCUUCAGUAUUUCUAUUCUAGUACCUUUCCAUAACAAAUUCUCAAUAAAUAUUUGUUGAUGAAACUGCACUAGAAAUGGUACGAGGUACUAGAGAUACAAAGAGGCAUGAUAUUCAGCUCCUUCCCUCAAGGCAUUAAUGUUCUAGUCAAAAACAACAUGACUUUACAGUACGGAAAGUGCUACGGCAGAGUUAUGCACAGCCCAAGGAGUGAACACAAGCAGAGCACCUAACCCAACUGAGGAGGCAAACGCGAUUGAUUGUUCGAGGAUGAAUUGGGUUAAAGACUCAGAAAAGAUACUCCCAAUAGAAGCAACAGAGUAUGCAAUGGGCAAGAAAUGAGAGACAGCAUGACAGAGAGAAGAAAUCAAAAUGACUAAAGCAUUGCUUGUAGAGAGCAAGACCCUAGCCAGCUUCCACUUGUACCACCAUUCUCUCUCUUUGUGAUCAACUCACAUUGUUUUUAGCUCUUCAAAUGCACUACCCUCCAUCUUGCUUAAA
Globicephala melas (long-finned pilot whale) is the source of this 1203-nucleotide long non-coding RNA. RefSeq lists it as uncharacterized. NCBI's taxonomy places the organism in Eukaryota, Metazoa, Chordata, Mammalia, Artiodactyla, Delphinidae. The record is from RefSeq and is a predicted model, not a curated record.